AAACGACUCUCGGCAACGGAUAUCUCGGCUCUCGCAUCGAUGAAGAACGUAGCGAAAUGCGAUACUUGGUGUGAAUUGCAGAAUCCCGUGAAUCAUCGAGUCUUUGAACGCAAGUUGCGCCCGAAGCCAUCAGGCCGAGGGCACGCCUGCCUGGGUGUCACGCA
RNAcentral lists this ribosomal RNA (164 nucleotides) under Rotala indica. RNAcentral describes it as "5.8S ribosomal RNA". It matches the Rfam family "5.8S ribosomal RNA". Rfam says of the family: 5.8S ribosomal RNA (5.8S rRNA) is a component of the large subunit of the eukaryotic ribosome. Lineage: Eukaryota; Viridiplantae; Streptophyta; Magnoliopsida; Myrtales; Lythraceae. The record is from RNAcentral.